This 253-nucleotide ribosomal RNA is filed under the name uncultured bacterium. Its description in RNAcentral is "partial 16S ribosomal RNA". It matches the Rfam family "Bacterial small subunit ribosomal RNA", at positions 524 to 776 of the family's 1533-position model. The record is from RNAcentral.
UACAGAGGGUGCAAGCGUUGUUCGGAAUCAUUGGGCGUAAAGGGCGUGUAGGCGGUUUGUUAAGUCAUGUGUGAAAUCCCUCGGCUCAACCGGGGAACGACGCAUGAAACUGGCAAGCUAGAGUACCAAAGAGGGCGGUGGAAUUCCCGGUGUAGCGGUGAAAUGCGUAGAGAUCGGGAGGAACACCGGUGGCGAAGGCGGGUCUCUGGGCAUCUCCUGACGCUGAGGCGCGAAAGCGUGGGGAGCAAACGGG